UAAAACUAAAAUUGGAACUUAUAUCCCAAAUUCUCUAUAUACACAUAACGAUCUAGCAUUUCCAAUUUCCCACACACUCCCUCACAAUGGUAAUUUUGAUUCAGUUCUCUCAUGUUUUCUCUCCUAUAACCCUAGACUAAACCUUGGAAUAAAAAACGACGGAAUGGAGAGGUACACAAGCAGAGGAACAAAUGGAGACGCUGGAAUCAAAAAACAAGGGAUGAAGAGGUACACAAACAUGAACAAAUUUGAUGCUUCAUUUUCUAAACACUAUUGCUUCUCUCUCCACCAUGUCGAUUUCAUGAAUAUUGAUCUAGAUCCCUACACCAUCUGCAUCGAUUCACCGCCAAACACCUGAUUUAUGAAUUUCCAGGCAAGAAUCUCGAACCUCUCUAUUCUCUUAUACUAUGCUCUCCCAACUAAAGUUUUGUAUGUUUGUCGCUGAAAAUCUCAGGAAACCCUAGCCUCACCCCAAUCAAACAUGUUCCUGUGAAGUCCAUGGGAUGUUUUGGUGAUGUCGGUAACUGGAUCAUAAGAAGUACGUGAGAAAGCUUUAUUUUGGGUUUUUUAUUGUUAGGUUUCUUAAUACAUCCACAUAGGAAUGCAUAUCUACAUAUCUAUCUUAUUGGGCUUUUUUGAAGAUAAAAUCAUUUUGUUAGGGUUUUGUUUGCUGCUUUCGAUCCCACCUCCAUUUACAGGUUCGAUUUUUUCUACUUCUUUUGGUGACGUUUCCAUCAAUUAACAAGGAUACGAUUUUGAUUUUGGUGAUGAGUGGAUGCAAGUCUGAUUUUAUGUUCAUUGAUGGAUUUCUUCUCCAGAUCCGAUUGUAGGUAUAUUACUUUUGAAUAAAAAUAUUUUCUUUAGAAAAACUCAAGUCUAAAAUCUUACGACCUGGAAAGUGGAAACCUGAAUACAUGAAGGAUUUCUACCUUAAAGACAUAUUAUUGGAGAAAACAUUUAUUAACAUGCUAUUUCGUCUAAUUCUUUAGGUUUAGGUAUGGAAAACUAGAAUCAAAUGUUUGUUUUUCAGUUCGUUUGUUUAGGCUUAUAUUGAAAUUUGAUAUUGAUUAUGAGUUCAUUGAAUGAUGAUCUAUAUAAAGAUUGAUUUCUAUAUGUUAGUGUCUUAUUAAUAAUAUGAUGGUUCUGUUAUGGUUCAUAUGUAUUUAAUUUUAUGGUUUUUUUCAUUGCAGAUAAAUUUCAAUUUUAGAUAAAUGCACUUUCUACAUCUUUUACUUAUGAAUCUUUUAUGGUCCAUAUUAGACCUGGAAUUUUGAAGCCUACAACAAUAAAAGGUGGGGUUUAAUAUUUUAGUGUGCCUCCCCCUAUACCACAUGGGUCAUCUAUAAAAUUCUUCAUACCUUAUAAUUUGAAUUAUAUAUAUANNNNNNNNNNNNNNNNNNNNNNNNNNNNNNUAUAUAUAUAUAUAUAUAUAUAUAUAUAUUUUAAUAUUUGACAUAAACUCAAAAUAUUGAAUCCAAACAGGGGAAAGUUGAUCUUCUAAAUGUCUUUGAAGACGCAAGGGAAGGAGAGUCAAAGGAAGGAGAAUGAGUUUGUUCACCAGAUUUGGUUUAAAAGACAUUUGAGGUAUGCAAAUUUGGUCUUUUAUUUGAUUUGCAGAAGAAGCCUUAUAGAUUUUAACACAUGGGUAGUAUCGUUAAUUAGAACAUGUUAUAUAUGUGGUUGCACAUGGCCCGCCACAAUAGCUAAGGGGCACGUAUGUUCACAACAGAUCUGAUGGAACUCCUGGUGGCUAAUCUACACAGUGAGCAUCUUAUUAGUCUUCAUGUUUCUGCUUUUAAUUUCACCUAUUAUUCCGAGUUAUGGCAACUUCUGAUCUUCAAUUGCUUUAUCAUGCAAUUUCGUAGCUCAAUAUCUUUUUUGGUGGUAGGGGUUUCAUUUACUGUUUUCUGGAGCCUCCACAAAUCCAAUGACAUCAUGAUAUUCAGGGAAGUUUAUAGGCUUAUUCCUGAUCUGGAUCAUAGACUUAGUGAUGCACUAAACUGAAUUGCUUUUUAUUUUUUAUUUUUUUUUAUUUCUAUUAUUACAUGUUAAACUAAAUGGGAUUUUUUUGAAUUUCUAUUAUUACAUGUUAAGAAAUAAAUAUGAUGGGAUGAGUGUCAUAUUUUAAUUUGUCUAUAAUGGUAAAUAGGAAAAGAUACUUGAAAGAAUGAAGUUGCUUCAAAAGCUGGUAGUUUGCUACCAAUUGGUGACAAGGAGGAAAUCAAGUAUCACAUGGUUAGAAAAAAUGAAGUAAAACUAAAGGGAAAAACUAAAGGAUAUUGUAAAGAAAUACAUCACAUGGUUAGAAAAAAUGAAGUAAAACUAAAUGUUUCAGUUACAUAUUAAUAUUGUUACAGAGUCAAUUGUUUUUUUUUCUUCUUCUUCUGAGCCUCUUAAUCCAUCAAUUUCCCCUUUGUUUUACUACAAUUUUACCCUUGUGAAGCUACAAUUUCAAUUAGAUCUUUGACAAUUAUCACUUUUAGCAAAGGGUUCAAGUGAAGUAAAGCAUCGCGAAUUUCUUUUAUUAUAAGAAGCACUUGUGGCCAUUGUAACAAAAUCAUAUCUAUUAUAUUCAGGGGAUAGGGAAUAUACAUUACAGCCCCACCUAAGCUUAGGUACCAAGCCUCUAAAAUAUGUCGUUUUAACAUGCUAAAUAUACCCGGUUUUGUUUCACUUGGUAAAUAUAUCAUUCUCCAUAACAUUUCUUUAUUUCAUUAUCGUUUUAUCAUCUCCGUUUUCUUUCCUCAAUUAUCGUUUAUUACUUCAUCCAAGUAAGCAUUACUAAACCCUAAACCUAAACCUAAACCCUAAAUUUAAGCCCUAAACACUAAAGCUAAACCCUAAACCCUAAAUCUAAACACUAAACCCUAAACCCUAAACCCUAACCCUAAACCCUAAACCCUAAACCUAAACCCUAAACCCUAAACAUAAACCUAAACCCUAAAUCCUAUUGUGUCGAUCUUGAAUUUACAUCUUGAAGUAUUAAUCAUGAAUCCAUUAACUGUAAUCUUUAUAUAGUAAAACAAUGUAUUUUCAAGAGGUUUAGUACCUAAGCUUAGGUGAGGCUGUAAUGUAUUUUCCCUUUUCCCUUAUAUUUAUUACUAUUUUUUGAUUUGUUGUAAUUGUAAUAAUACAAGGAGGCAUGAGAUGUUUUUUUAAUCCGUGCUGUUUAUCAAUGUUUUACGUAUCUUUUUUGUAAUCUUAAUGUUUGGAUAAAUUUAUGUGUAUAAAUAUAUAUUC
RNAcentral lists this long non-coding RNA (3240 nucleotides) under Lactuca sativa (garden lettuce). Its description in RNAcentral is "long non-coding RNA (LSAT_LNC008314)". The record is from RNAcentral. Lineage: Eukaryota; Viridiplantae; Streptophyta; Magnoliopsida; Asterales; Asteraceae.